UCGGCUAGGGGGCCAUCCCGGCUUACCAACCCGAUGCAAACUGCGAAUACCGGAGAAUGUUAUCACGGGAGACACACGGCGGGUGCUAACGUCCGUCGUGAAGAGGGAAACAACCCAGACCGCCAGCUAAGGUCCCAAAGUCAUGGUUAAGUGGGAAACGAUGUGGGAAGGCCCAGACAGCCAGGAUGUUGGCUUAGAAGCAGCCAUCAUUUAAAGAAAGCGUAAUAGCUCACUGGUCGAGUCGGCCUGCGCGGAAGAUGUAACGGGGCUAAACCAUGCACCGAAGCUGCGGCAGCGACACUCAGGUGUUGUUGGGUAGGGGAGCGUUCUGUAAGCCUGUGAAGGUGGCCUGUGAGGGUUGCUGGAGGUAUCAGAAGUGCGAAUGCUGACAUAAGUAACGAUAAAGCGGGUGAAAAGCCCGCUCGCCGGAAGACCAAGGGUUCCUGUCCAACGUUAAUCGGGGCAGGGUGAGUCGACCCCUAAGGCGAGGCCGAAAGGCGUAGUCGAUGGGAAACAGGUUAAUAUUCCUGUACUUGGUGUUACUGCGAAGGGGGGACGGAGAAGGCUAUGUUGGCCGGGCGACGGUUGUCCCGGUUUAAGCGUGUAGGUGUGUGUUCCAGGUAAAUCCGGUUCACUUUAACACUGAGGCGUGAUGACGAGGCACUACGGUGCUGAAGCAACAAAUGCCCUGCUUCCAGGAAAAGCCUCUAAGCAUCAGGUAACAUCAAAUCGUACCCCAAACCGACACAGGUGGUCAGGUAGAGAAUACCAAGGCGCUUGAGAGAACUCGGGUGA
RNAcentral lists this ribosomal RNA (795 nucleotides) under Salmonella enterica subsp. enterica serovar Paratyphi B. RNAcentral's name for it is "bacterial LSU rRNA". It matches the Rfam family "Bacterial large subunit ribosomal RNA", at positions 915 to 1707 of the family's 2925-position model. The record is from RNAcentral. Lineage: Bacteria; Pseudomonadati; Pseudomonadota; Gammaproteobacteria; Enterobacterales; Enterobacteriaceae.